This 155-nucleotide ribosomal RNA is filed under the name Phakopsora pachyrhizi. RNAcentral's name for it is "5.8S ribosomal RNA". It matches the Rfam family "5.8S ribosomal RNA". From Rfam's summary of the family: 5.8S ribosomal RNA (5.8S rRNA) is a component of the large subunit of the eukaryotic ribosome. It is transcribed by RNA polymerase I as part of the 45S precursor that also contains 18S and 28S rRNA. Functionally, it is thought that 5.8S rRNA may be involved in ribosome translocation. The record is from RNAcentral. Lineage: Eukaryota; Fungi; Basidiomycota; Pucciniomycetes; Pucciniales; Phakopsoraceae.
CUUUUAACAAUGGAUCUCUAGGCUCUCAUAUCGAUGAAGAACACAGUGAAAUGUGAUAAUUAAUGUGAAUUGCAGAAUUCAGUGAAUCAUCAAGUUUUUGAACGCACCUUGCACCUUUUGGUAUUCCAAAAGGUACACCUGUUUGAGUGUCAUGA